RNAcentral lists this transfer RNA (71 nucleotides) under Salmo salar (Atlantic salmon). It matches the Rfam family "tRNA". Rfam says of the family: Transfer RNA (tRNA) molecules are approximately 80 nucleotides in length. Their secondary structure includes four short double-helical elements and three loops (D, anti-codon, and T loops). Lineage: Eukaryota; Metazoa; Chordata; Actinopteri; Salmoniformes; Salmonidae. The record is from Rfam by way of RNAcentral.
CUCCCUGUGGUUCAGUUGGUAGAGCCCGGUGUUUGCAACGCCAGGGUUGUGGGUUCGAUUCCCAUGGGAGG